UACGUAGGUGGCAAGCGUUGUCCGGAAUCACUGGGCGUAAAGCGCGCGCAGGCGGCGAUCUACGUCUGGGGUGAAAGCCCGGAGCUCAACUCCGGGACUGCCUUGGAUACGGGAUCGCUUGAGGAUUGGAGAGGCAAGGGGAAUUCCACGUGUAGCGGUGAAAUGCGUAGAUAUGUGGAGGAACACCUGUGGCGAAGGCGCCUUGCUGGCCAAUUUCUGACGCUGAGGAGCGAAAGCUAGGGGAGCAAACGGG
Molecule: ribosomal RNA, 253 nt
Filed under: uncultured bacterium
Lineage: Bacteria
Description: partial 16S ribosomal RNA
Rfam family: Bacterial small subunit ribosomal RNA
Source: RNAcentral